GAUGAAGAACGUAGCGAAAUGCGAUAAGUAUUGUGAAUUGCAGAAUUCAGUGAAUCAUCGAAUCUUUGAACGCACAUUGCGCCCGCCAGUAUUCUGGCGGGCAUGCCUGUUCGAGCGUCAUUACAACCCUCAGGCCCCCGGGCCUGGCGUUGGGGAUCGGCGGAAGCCCCCUGCGGGCACAACGCCGUCCCCCAAAUACAGUGGCGGUCCCGCCGCAGCUUCCAUUGCGUAGUAGCUAACACCUCGCAACUGGAGAGCGGCGCGGCCACGCCGUAAAACACCCAACUUCUGAAUGUUGACCUCGAAUCAGGUAGGAAUACCCGCUGAACUUAAGCAUAUCAAUAAGCGGAGGA
RNAcentral lists this unclassified non-coding RNA (353 nucleotides) under soil metagenome. RNAcentral describes it as "partial contains 5.8S ribosomal RNA, internal transcribed spacer 2, and large subunit ribosomal RNA". The stretch from base 1 to 120 matches the Rfam family "5.8S ribosomal RNA", at positions 35 to 154 of the family's 154-position model. The record is from RNAcentral.